Molecule: long non-coding RNA, 1018 nt
Filed under: Phasianus colchicus (ring-necked pheasant)
Lineage: Eukaryota; Metazoa; Chordata; Aves; Galliformes; Phasianidae
Description: lncRNA (ENSPCLG00000020831.1)
Source: RNAcentral
AUUUCACUGAAGCCACUGCAGGAAAGGAUACGUUCUCUUUCAGAUUCUUUGAAGCUUAGCUGAGGCUUGGUGCCUUGAUGCAAUUUUAAGGAAGAAGAGGAUAACUUUACCCUAAGAUUGUUGCCAAAAUACUCACUUCUGGCACUUUCUAGAAUCCCUGCUUAGAGUUUAAAUAUUUUUUUUUUUAGAUUGACUUUUGUCAUUAAUCUCCAUCACAGUGCGUACUUUGUCCUUUGACAACCUAAGAAAUGUUUUUGUCCACUUUUGGUCAAUAGCAACUGUGGAGGCAAAUCUGAGCUGCAUUUACUUUAUGAUCCUUCCUAAGUGCUUUCACUGUUGCCAUAUCAGUGUUGGCCUUAAAGUGGACAUUCUCUUGGGCCAAAGACCCAGUUUGCCCUAGCAUCUGAUGCCCCAUUAUUACUUCUGGUGAGGAGUAACAUUAUAUGUUACAUUUUGACAAGGUUAUUUGUCAACUUGGUCCUUGUAGCUGAAUAUAUUUACAUCUGGAAUGAAUAGGCACUUUCUUUUGAGAGUUUCAUUCUUUUUUAAAUGGGAGAUGGUUUUGUUGUCACUAUGUCUUUACCAGAGGUCCGUGUUUAUUUGCCAUGCAAUGUGAUGCAUUGGGUAUUGUCAUCCUGAUUCCUAUAGUGUCUUAUCAAUAGGCACUUCACGCUUGCACAUCUUUACAACUGGAGGUACAUUAGGGGGAAUCAAAAGCUCGCCUCUGUGUGUCACCUGCAGAUGCUGUAUCAUCACAGGCACAGAGACGGAAAGAUUGCACCCUGCACUUAACACAGAGAAACCUGAAGUAACUUGUGUUACUGUCUCACGAUCCUGGAAUCACAUGAAUAAAGCUGAAGUGGCAGGAACUAGAGGGCUUGACACAUCCCUUGCAUCUUCCAUUUACUCUGACCACAGUCCCUCCCUGUUCUCACAAGUGGAGCUAAGCCCUGCUUCCCUUCCUCUUGAUUCCCAGCCAGCUACAUGCAGUGGUUGGCAGUUUUCCUCAACUCCGUGA